Molecule: long non-coding RNA, 5276 nt
Filed under: Brassica napus (rape)
Lineage: Eukaryota; Viridiplantae; Streptophyta; Magnoliopsida; Brassicales; Brassicaceae
Description: long non-coding RNA (BNAP_LNC006722)
Source: RNAcentral
UUCGAUAUCAUCAAGACACCUAUGGAUUUUGGAACAGUAUGCAGUAAUCUUGAAAAAGGCAACGUAUACAUGAAUUCUGAGGAUGUUUACAAGGAUGUCCAGUACAUCUGGAAUAACUGUUCCAAGUACAAUAAGAAAGGCGAUUAUAUCGUCGACCUGAUGAAGCGAGUCAAGAAAAAUUUCAUGAAGUACUGGGCUGCCGCCGGAUUGUAUACUGAGCAAUCUGCAGGUAUUGUUAAAAAAUUAAUCUUCUCUAGCAUUUUACUUUUUCUUCUCACGCAUUGUUAAAUUUGGUAGGUGUAGUUUUACGUUUCUGGUUCCCCUUAGGCAUAUAAAGUAGACAUUGUGAACACAUAAAACUUUUAACAAUACCUGCAGAUUGUUAACAAUGUACAGUACUGGCAUUGUUUCUGGUAGCUAUGCACUUUGGGCUGAGUAAUAUAGCUUACGGUUUAACUUAUAUGGUUUCUUCGAUUUACGAUCAGAGAAUGCUCAAGUAGAGGAUGGUGGAAAUGCAUCCUCCAAAGGUAGUCAAUCCAAGCAGAAGAGCCAGAAGCGCCAUGGGUAUAUGCCUUUGAAACUUCUUUUUUUUUUCCUUAAUGAUACGUGGGGACUCAUAAGCAUAGUUUGGUUUCAAUGUUUCAUCAGUCUUCCUAGGUUUUAUAGACAAGAGGUUAUCUUUUGCAAAGCUACUGUAACCUAGGUUUUGUCAAAUUGUAUUCUGUUUUCUGUAUAGAGCUUGUGUUGUCCUUUAUUACUGGGAUUGGGAUUUGUGAUGGGAUUCAGUUUCAUUUGAUAGUGUCAUUACUUUCGCUUUGCAGAAGGCAUCACAAGAGUGAUUGCAUGUGUGCGGUAUGUAUUUUGAAGAGACGUAAAAGAGAACGUCACAGUUCUCAAGGAAAUUCUGGAGCAGUAGAGGUUAGUAAUGUGUUUUGUUUAUCCAAAGAGAGCACACAGCCCGGGUGCUUGGCUUCCAUUGGCUGUAACUAAAUAUCAUUCUUUCUUGAAGGAAUCUUCACCUGUGAGAAGUCCGUCUGUGGAUAAUUCAUCUAUUAAUAUGCGUGAGGAGCAGGACAUGGAUGUUGAUGUCGACAACAAAACAAGACAAGGAAAAGCAGAAAUCGUGGAACUAGAUAGUCCAGUGGCAAAAAGACAAAGAGUUGGUGAAUAUAAAAAACAAAAUGUGGAGGGAGAGGAGACCCUUGAGGUGGAGACUGAAACUAAAACUAAACCUACUGUCGAGGAUAAGACUCAAUCGAUUGAUAGAUCGACAGAAGAGACUGGUGACGAGCCCGUGACUAGUGCUGCCGAGAAAUUGGCUGUUUUAGCUUCUGUUGAAGGCCCAAAAUCAACUCAGAAUGAAGAGGAAGACAAGGCAAAACGACUCCGGGAGCAGAAGGUACUCUCCGAGCUUUUAUUAUGAUGUUUUGAUUAAGCAGCAAGCACUACUGAGAGUAAUUGUAUUAUUGCAGGAGCUGCAGGAGUUAGAGCGUAAACAAUGGAGAGCUAAGAUGCAUGAGAAGUUCCAACUCAGAAACCCUCAGCUGCUAAAUCUUUGCGAGACUAUCUUUCCUAAAAGCAACAAUCAAAGUUCUGUCUGGAACGGACCUCACUCACUGUUUAAACGUCCAGAAGGCUCAAAUCGUACUAGUUCCUUGCACAAAGCAGUGGAAGCCUUGAUGAGAAGUAGUAGUUAAGGAUUCACAAUGUAACAUAAGUAUUUAGCUAUCGUUCUUCGCUUUGCCUGUUUAGAUAUGUUUGAUUGAUACAUCAAAUGUCAAACACCAUAAGAUUCUUUUCACUGAAAGCAGAAACAUCAAUUUGUUCAUGAAUUUUUAGACAAAAUGGAUUCGCUUUUACAUAAUGAUUUGACUGCCAUGAGACGAUAAGAAGGGAAUAAAACGUCAAUUAAGGCAUUGACUUAACUAUUCCACACAAUGUCAAAAAAUUGUCCAGUUGAUUAUUGGGUUAAGUUGUGUUUCCUUAAAAAAAACCUACAGAAUUACCAAAUGUGAUUAUGAUAUAUAUAGUAAUUAAUGAUUUCAAAUAAUGAAGAUUUGCUAAUAAUCUGUAUACUUUCUAUCAUUUUUGUUUAAUUUUUUAUUAUUAAAAUAAAUUACACAAUUACAUUGAUCAUAUAUUAAAAAUUUAUAUUUUUUUGUAUAUGUUGUAUUUUGAAUUUUUGAAAACGAGUACAAAUUACUAAAAUUGUUAAAAGUCUCACAUAAACUUGUGUGAUCAAUGUUUAAAUAUUUUCUAUAAUAAGAUACUAUGAUAAUAAAAUCAUAUAAAUAAAUAAUUUUAUUUUAGUAGGUGUUUAUGUUAAUAUAUAUAUACUUCAUAUCGUUUAAAUUUAAUUAUAUAUAAUAUACGAUAGAUAAGAUUGAUUGUUUUGAUCUAUUUAUCCUAAAAUGAUUGCGAAUAAACAAGCGUGGUCAUUUGAUUUAUAUGUGCAAGUCAAUUUAUUACAUGAUAGUAACUGAUGUCUUAGUUAUUUAAUAUAUAAUUAUUAUUUUACUAUUUCAUAAUAUGCAUAAAAAUAUAAAAUAAGUAAUAUAUAUAUAAAAUAUUUAUUCUUCACAAGACGUCGAUCUUAACCUAAGUAUGUAUCUCUUUAAUAAUUUUGAAUCUUAAACAUUUUUUAAAUCUGAGGCGAAAUAAAAUAAAAAAAUGAGAAUAAACUCAAAAAUCAAUAUUUAUAUCAAGCAAUAACCAAAAUAACACAAAAAGGAGAAAAAUAUCGAAGAUAAAUAGGAUUGACACGUGAACGUAAACUUCUCAUAAACAUAAUUAACUUUUAAAUUGUUAAAUCAUGAUAUAAAACCGAGCUGACAUAGUUUCACUGUAACCAAAUAGUAGGCAUGAGAUUCUUCGGCCUAAACGUUAGGUUUUUAUGCGAUAAAUAAUUUUUGACCUAAAAUAUUUUAAAAAAUAGGAUUAGUUCAUUAGUAGACAAAUUAUGUAAUUAACAAAAAAAAAAUUUUAAAUUUUUUUAAGGACCAAAAAUAUUAAUUCGAUCAAUAAUCUAAAUUUUAUUUUCAUACGAUAUUUUUAAAUAAUUUUCAUUUAAAUUUACUCUGCGCAAGACGCAUGUCUUAUCCUAGUACAAUACUACAACAUAUUUUGCCAAACCCUAGACCAAAGAAUAUCAUGACUCACUACUUUCACUCAUCUAUGUUGAAAAUAAUUCAAUUUUAUUAUAUUUUAAUUUAUAUCACUUAAAACUGUUUAUAAUUACAUGAUUUUAAUUUUUUGCUUAUCAAAAUAUUUUUUACAAAAUUUAUAAAUUAUUUUUAAGAUCCACUACACCAGACAACUUCCGUAACUUCCGUGGACGUCGUCCAGAAGACUCGGAAGACUUAGCAGGGAUAUAUUCGUAAAAAUGAGUUAUGUUUUUAUGUUUGGUCACAAGGGACUGUGUGUAAUUUCACAAGGUUUUUAGGUUACUUUUUGCAUUUGAUUCAAAUUUGGGUAUAUUUUUACAAUCAAAGUCAAAUUUUGAAUCAUAUUUGGCAAAUUCAUUUGAAAGGGCUGUAAUGUCAAAAAGUCCAUAGUUACCCAAAACAUUACUGGAAGGGUUGUAAUGUCAAAAAAUUCAUUAAAAUUUUGCAUAUUUGAGUUUUUGACGCUUGUUUUGUUUUGGAUUUGGCACAUAUGCAUUUUUUGCUUGGCCCAUAACAAACCCAUUAGCAAAAACGACGACGUAAGUGUUAAAUCUGCAGAGAAGGGUCUUAAAACUCUAAAAAAGCACCGAAUCGUCUGGGGUCUAAUAAGCGACGCUCGAAGAAUUACGAGUCGAAAGUCGAAAGCGCGGUCUCGUCGAGUUCUAUUAAAAGUUUGUUUGGUAAAAAUCUCUGUUUCCCUCCAACUUUUUGAAUCUCUCCCUCUUCCUCUUCCCCCGCAAGAUUCUCUGCUCUGCUGGUUUGCCCUAGAUCUAGUGUUUAGUGAGUGAUUCAAGAUUGUUUUGAUUCGAUUAGCCUAUAUAUGAUCGGAUCUCUUGAUUGCAAAUUGUUUGUCUUCUUUCGGAUAAUCUAAUCCAAUCAAGGUUUUUGCAGGAGUCUCUCGCUCGUAGCUGUGAUGAAGCGUAAGGGAGGACAUAAGAAAGGGAACAAGUCUAAAAAGUCCACCGAACCAGAGACUUUGAAUGAGUCUGUUCAAAACAGCGACUCUGAGCAAAGUUCGGGUGAGUGUGAGAAGAGUAAAACGGAGGUUGAUGCACCUGACAGUUCACCUAGUGUAGAUCCGGUUAAGUCUGUGGGGCGUGUUAAGGUUAAACUGAAGACCUCCUCCAAAGCACUUGAACCUGAUGUUCCCUUGACUACUCCUCAAAAAGAGGAUCCUGUUCCUCCUCGUUUGCCUGAGCGAAAACCAGUUCUCAACGUUUAUAGGAAGAUGAAAGGUAUUAAGAUCAAGUCCUGGAAGGCGGUUGAUGGGUCUAGCUCUGUUUCUGAGAAGCCCCUAGAUGCAGUUGAUAAGGAGACGAAGACGCCUGAUGAGACUUCUCAAGUCAAGAAGCUUGAACCUGAUAGUGCACCCGUUUCUUCUCAGAAGAAGACUGAUAACAAUAAGCAAGAACUGGAAGAUUCUCUUACGGUGUCGUGUCUACCUUGUUUGUUUGUUUCUUCUUCUUUUUAUGGUAAUGAACAAUUUUAACUAAACCUUAUUGGUCUUAGGUGGUCAAGAAGAUUAUGAAGAUGGAAGCUGCUGAUCCCUUUAAUGUUCCUGUCGACCCAGAAGCUCUUGGGAUUCCUGUAAGUGUGUGAUCCAUUAGCUUCAUCUUUAUUUUAUAUAUCCGAACAUAUCAACUUUGGCUUGUGAAAGCUCAUCCCCUUCAUAGGUAAAAUAGUUCUGUGUGUUUUCUUGUAAACAGACAAAAAUCAUUUUGAUCUCAACUUAAAAUUUCUUUACUACAUUUACUAGUCUUGUUAUUUAGCAUAGGGUAUGGGUUCAUCUUUAUGUGAAGGAAAUAAUACUUGUUUUAAAUCUUUUCUUUGCUUGUCAAGGGGUUUCAGAAUUGUUGUCUAACACGUUUAGCUGUUUUCGGGUUAUGUAAUUAGGACUAUUUCGAUAUCAUCAAGACACCUAUGGAUUUUGGAACAGUAUGCAGUAAUCUUGAAAAAGGCAACGUAUACAUGAAUUCUGAGGAUGUUUACAAGGAUGUCCAGUACAUCUGGAAUAACUGUUCCAAGUACAAUAAGAAAGGCGAUUAUAUCGUCGACCUGAUGAAGCGAGUCAAGAAAAAUUUCAUGAAGUACUGGGCUGCCGCCGGAUUGUAU